CUUGCAGAAUAAAAGUUUGUUUUUGGUUAUGAAUUGGUUAUUUAAUUUCUGCUCCAGACAUAAUUCUUCUCAGCUGGGUAAUAUGGAAUGAAGAUGCAGGUGAGAAUGUGACUAUCAAAUUGGCUUUUAGCACAAAUAGCAUGGGAUCCUAGAUGAGGCUUUGAACCGAAGAAGAGAAGAAUCAAGGAAAGGCAGUUAGUGGUUUACACACACUGGCUGCACUCUGACCCUGACACACUCCUUCUUCCUGAACAUCAGGAAUUUGUUGCCAGGGGCCAAAUGGUAUUAAGGCAAUCUCUCUUUCCAGCCGCUUCUCCGAACAGAGAGCGUUUGUAGUUCUUUUAUCAUUCCCAGAGAGACAUCAUUUCUAUUCUAUGGUUUUCUGAUCCUCCCUACCAGUUCCUCCCUUUGAAAUACUGACAGUUUUUUUUUUACCGUCUCAUUCUUUAGCUCGGCCCUGUCUCAUGUCUGUGUUUUCAUAUUAUCAUCGUGCUUAUUUCUCGCUUAAACAGGUGACAUGCUCAGCACAACAAUUUCAUUUCUUUUUAACCCUUCCCAGAUCUAUUACUUUCAUUUUCCUUUUGAGUGUAAACUGCUCCCUAAUAACCUCGUUCUAUUUUCUUUCCAUUUUUAUUGCAGCUCAAAUCGACUUAUCAGACAAUCAGAUAAAUUUUAAGUAACUUUGAGUACAGUGGAAUCCAAUUCAUAGUCAUUUCCCAGAGUUGAGUUCAAUUUAUAGAUAUUUUUCAGAAAUGAUUCCUCAUUUUGAAAAAGGUGGAGGAACCUUCAGGAAGUUUAGUUGUCUAUAUCCAAGAUUUCUGGACUUUCGGAGCUGCAGUGAUCCCAGCUGUUUGUCCUGCCUCCAUAUCCUAUGGAAGAGGAAACUAGAGCCUUGAGAAGUUAAUAGUAUUCAAGGUAAUCAGGAGUAUGUGGAAUCACACUGAAGGAGGAGCCAGAGUUCUAUGAGAAGAUCAUUUCCGGUUUGAGCCUGUGAGAUAUGUGUGGGUUCUAGAAAAUUUUAGUAGAGAAAAUACAAAUUCCAGAUGAUUCCUUUCUUUAUCAAUAUCCUCAUCCAAGUAGCACUCAUAGGAUGUAGUAGCUACUAUGUACCCCCAAAGAUCCCUGAUAAAUAUGAAAAUCUUGCUAUGCUAAGAGUUUCUUUCAUAUCAGCAUAGGUGUCUCAUAAAUCUUCAGCCAUAGACAAUGAAGCUGUGGCUCAUUUGGUGGUUUAUAAUACAUGAUUCAUGUGAUAGUAUCAUAAAACAAUUUUGUGCAAUAGCACUGCAACCAAGAUUACAUAAAACUAUUUGUUUACAUAUCUUUGUGCAAAUGUGUCUUCAG
Mesocricetus auratus (golden hamster) is the source of this 1341-nucleotide long non-coding RNA. RefSeq lists it as uncharacterized. Lineage: Eukaryota; Metazoa; Chordata; Mammalia; Rodentia; Cricetidae. The record is from RefSeq and is a predicted model, not a curated record. The transcript has 3 exons.